CAGUCGCCGCGGUAAUACGGAGGGUGCAAGCGUUAAUCGGAAUUACUGGGCGUAAAGCGCACGCAGGCGGUUUGUUAAGUCAGAUGUGAAAUCCCCGGGCUCAACCUGGGAACUGCAUUUGAAACUGUCAGGCUGGAGUCUUGUAGAGGGGGGUAGAAUUCCAGGUGUAGCGGUGAAAUGCGUAGAGAUCUGGAGGAAUACCGGUGGCGAAGGCGGCCCCCUGGACAAAGACUGACGCUCAGGUGCGAAAGCGUGGGGAGCAAACAGGAUUAGAUACCCCUGUAGUCCCUGUCUCUUAUAC
RNAcentral lists this ribosomal RNA (301 nucleotides) under uncultured bacterium. RNAcentral describes it as "partial 16S ribosomal RNA". It matches the Rfam family "Bacterial small subunit ribosomal RNA", at positions 509 to 807 of the family's 1533-position model. The record is from RNAcentral.